Molecule: long non-coding RNA, 421 nt
Filed under: Gallus gallus (chicken)
Lineage: Eukaryota; Metazoa; Chordata; Aves; Galliformes; Phasianidae
Description: lncRNA (ENSGALG00010002327.1)
Source: RNAcentral
GAGUGAGUAAACCUGGAGUAAAGAGUGAACAAAGCUUGGAGUAAACUGUGAGGAAACAUGGAGUAAAAUAUGUGUAAACCCUGGCGUAGAAUGUGAGCAAAACCUGAUGUAAACUGUGAGUAAAGCUAGAGAAAAGUGUGAGUAAACCCAAAGUAAAGGGUGUGUAAGCCCGGAGUAAAUAAUGAGGAAACCUGGUGCAAAUUGUGAGUAAACCCAAAGUAACCUUGAAGUUAAAACCUAAAGCAUAUUGUUAGGAACCGCGGAGUAAAUUGUGAGUAAAGCCCUGAGUAAAGUGAGAGUAAACCCAGAGAAAAGUGUGAGUAAACCUUUGCUACUGCAAAGCCCGUGGGCCCUCGGUGUGCAGGGACACUGCUCUCCCCCCAUCCGCCCAGCCUGUGAUGCCAUCAUAGAAGGCUACCAG